GGGAGUGAGAGAGCACCAUUGGAAAAUUUUUGAAGCAGCCACACGAUUCCGAGAGUGAGAGAGCACCAUUGAGGGACCUGCAUAUGAGAAAAAUAGCCGCACCAUCGAAAGAAAGGCUUUAUCUCCAAGAGCACAAGUGUGCACGCUGUUAAAAAGAAUUGCUCUCCAUUAACAUGCAACAUUUUGAGGACUUGCAGUGCAUGGGCAGCCAUCAUACCAUGCGUCCUUGGACCCCUUAUUGAGAAGCCCACUAUCACUUUUGGUGGAAAGUGCCCACGCGUUUUUGAAAAAGGUAAAUUAAUUCUUCCUAUUUCAAUUUUUAUUCAUGAAAUAUUCAAUUCAAUUCAUAAUUGUUUUAGAAUUUUAUCUAUUUAGUUUAAUUAUUUCCAAUAUCAAUAUAUUCAUGAUGUGAAUUUGUUAAAUUUAGUUUUAAAUUAUUCCCAUUUAGCCUAUGUAUUUUAAAAUUUUAUUUUAUUGUAAAUUCAUGUUUAGUUUAGAUGUUAAAUUUUAAUUUUUUUUUAACUAAAUAAAUUAAUUAUUAUUGAUUCAUAUUUGAAUAUUAUGAUUUUUGUUUAAUUUAGUUACAAUUUAUUAUUUUUAGUUUGACAAAUUAGAAUUCUUAAGUAUUGGUUUGGAUCUUGAUGAUAAUGGAAAAGUUAGAAUUUUUAAGUGUUUGGAUAACUUUCAAUGAUAGUUUAAAAGUUAGGAUUUUGAUUAGUAUUAGUUUUGCUUCGUUCUUAGUUGGGAAAUUCAUAAUUUCAUUAGUUUAGUUUCAAUUCAUCUUUUAGUUUAGAUGUUAUUAAAAUUCUAGUUUAUUAGUUCAAUCGAUUCCAUGCUACUAUUUUCAUAUCCUAAGUUUAUUAAUUUUAAUUCAUGAUACAUCAUUUUUAGUUUAUAAGUUUUAGGAUUUGAGUUGGUUAAUUUAUUUCAUUUUAUAUUGAUAUAUUCAUGUUUUUUUUUAAUAAAAAAAAAACAUUUGUUGACUCUAGUUUUGAUUGAUCCUAUUUUAGUUGAUAGUUUUUUUAGAAUUUUAAUAAGUUUGAUUGGUCUCAUAUUAUUUGUUUCAUGUUUUAAGAUUUUUAAUUUCAAUUUUCUAUUAAUUCUAUGCUUUAGAAUUGUAGUCAAUUAGUUUAAUCUAAAAAAAAAACAUUUGUUGACUCUAGUUUUGAUCGAUCCUAUUUUAGUUGAUAGGUUUUUUAGAAUUUUAAUAAGUUUGAUUGGUUUCAUAUUAUUUGUUUCAUGUUUCAAGAUUUUUAAUUUCAAUUUUCUAUUAAUUCUAUGCUUAAGAAUUGUAGUAAGUUAGUUUAAUCUAUCCCCAUGUUAUCAUUUCGUGUUUAAAAAUAGGUAAUUUUAGUUUUUUUUACUGAUUUUAUUUAGUUUAUGCGUUUGUUUUCUUUUAUUUAAUUGAUUAGUUUAGUCGAUUUAUCAUGUUAGAUUUAUGACUUAAAAUCGUCAAUAUUAGUUGAUAUGUGUUGUUAGUUUUGUUUUAAAAGUCAAAUAAUAUUAGCAUUUGAUUGAUUUUAUCUUAAGCUUAAAUGUUUUUAAAGUUCCAGUGUUUGUAAGAUCUAAAAGGUUUUGGGUUUAUCGCUUUGGUCAUCCUUUGUCAAAUUCCAUUUCUAAGAGGCCAUUGGAAAACCAUGAAGAUUGGUCUCUACCCUCACCUUUAUCAUUUUUGUUAAUUACCAAAAAAAAAAAAUUACUUUGUGAUUUCAUUUUCUUUUGUUUUGUUUGGUAUUUUGUUUCUUAUGUUCUAUUUUUUUUUUCAAAUUAAUUUCUUUUAUUUUAAAACAAAACAAUUUCCUCAAAAUACCCCUUUAAAAAUCUUAUUUUAAAAAUAAUUCAUUUAGAGUCCUUAGAAUAAAAAUCUCAUUUUCUUAAAUAAUAUGCAACCAUGUUUUGAUCAGUUUGCAUCUUCCUCGGUUUUCAAUAAAAAAUAUGGUUUUAAGUAGAACAUGAAUCCAAGCUUGUGAUCCUAAAUAAAUGGGAUAAUUCAAGGCUAGAUUAGUGUAUAUCAAUUGGGGAAUUAGUGAAACUCCUACAUAAAAGAAUUUUUUCAAAACUUAUUUUUGCUACCACCUUUCACUACAAGAAAAAAGUUCAUUAUUGACAUAUAUCAUCUUGACUUAAGAUAAUAUAUCUGAAGAUUGUCUAUUUAAAUGAACAAUUAUGACAUAUACAAUUUAGUUUAAAUCAACAAUGACAUAUAUAAUAGUUAUUGCAUUUUUCCAUGACUUAUGAUGAUGCAACCUUGACAAAUAAUUUAUAAGUCAAUCUAUAAUUAAUAUGUUCAUAUGUCAAGGUACCAAAAUGAAAGCAAUAAUGACAUAUAUAUUAUUUGCUAAAUUUUUCUUGGUUUAAUGAUAUGCAAUCUUGACUAAAAAAUCAUUAGUCAAAGUAUAGUUAAUCUUUUCUAUCUAAAUAAAAGUAAUAAUGACAUACAUGCAUUUGCUAAAUUUUUAUAUGGUUUAUAAUGACACAACCUCAAUAGAAAUUUAUAAGUUAAUAAAUAUUUAAUAAAUUAAUAUUUUAAGAUUAGAAUAUUUGGUACCGUCACUUUAACAUAUAUUUUGUAAGUGAAAAUAAGCCUAUUUUAUUUUAAUUUAUUAAGGUUGAGUUAUUGAAAAACAAAAUCCUAAUUUAAGGCAAUUUUAUCAAAUUUUGGUAGUUUUUACAAGCAUAUUCAUUAUUAUUUUGAAUAGAAAUUUGUGAUUAAAAAGGAUAAGAUAAUGUUUCCAUUUAAAAAAUAAUAUCAAUAUAUUGAAAACUAUACCUAUAAUCUUAUUUUAAUAUUUUGGAUAAGACACUAAGUUAUGUCUCUAUAUUUCUAAUUGUUGGAAUUAAAAUAUAUUGCCACUAACUUGGGUCGAGGUCUCACAAGUAUUAGGUAAUUAAAUUAUUAUUUAUGUUUAAUUAGACAUUAAAUCUACUAAGAAUAACUUAAUUAGUAUUUAGGUAUUAUAACUAAUUGUAGACCACAAAAUCAAUCCAUAGACCCAUUUCUUUUAAAAUAUUUUAAGCCCGUUUUAUUUAGUUUGGGCCCAUUACAUUUAUGCUUUUGCCUGAGCCAUAAAAAAAGCUUAAUAAAUAAGUUUUUUGUUUUUCCUUUCUAUUCCAUUUCCUUCCACUUACAGCCGCCCCAUCUUCCCCAUCUUCCUUUUUCUCUUCUUUUCCUAUUUUUUUUCUUCUUUCUUCUUCUUUCUUCUUUCUUUUUUCAUCCUCUCAUCCUCAUAUUCAUGGCAGCCUCUACGCCACCACCUCCAUCUCCUGUGUUGUUACCAUUCAUGAGUCCCACACCAACCAUGCCACCAUCUUUAGAUUCCCCCAUGGCUAUUGUUCCCAUGUUCACUACGACUCAAAUGUGCUUCCUGAUGUUUCGCCAUAACCCCGAUGUGAUUCUUGAUGUUCCAUCACCAUCAUAGCCACCAUUGUUGUAGCCCACAGCCUUGGUACCUCUUGCACUACCCAUUGAAUUUUGUUGGACUGACAUCAACACCACCAUCUCCAUGGUUGCCACUUCGUUCUUCAUCUUAAGGCUUCAAGAGACGUAGGUAAUCUCUACAGUACUUGUUGAGGUAGUUUUAAUUUAAUUUUUAUAUGGGCUUGGGUCUCAUUUGCUUUAUGAUUGGGCUUCAAAUAUUUGGUGCAUGGGUUUGAUGUUAUAAUAUUUUAUUACUUGGGCCUUGUGUUUCAUUUGGUUGAGCCCAAUAAUAAGAGUAUCAGGCACACAUAAGCAGGUUGGUUCUUUGAGAGCCAUGGAGUUUUGUUGAACCUUAGGAUUGUUGAGGUCAUGCUUCACCAUUGAUUGGGCUUCAAGCAAGAGAUAAGUAUGGAUGAGGCUUCAUCCUGGAGGAUAUGUGAGUUUGAAUAUCCACCGUGUUUUACAUUGAAUCUAGAAUCACAAAAUCAAUUCAAUUACAAUUGAUGAUAUUAAAGGUCAAUAGGUGUAUUUAUUUUAUUUUUGUGAUAUUGAAGGUUAGUAUAUUUACUGUCCUAUGAAAAAAUCUUUUAAUUUUUUGGUAUUUGUUACUUAAUUUUAUAUUAAUUUUGUGUUUAUUCUACUAGGUAUCUAAGAAAUACAUCAAGAAGAAGACAAUGAUGCAGAAACAAAGAUCACCUCUUAUGAAGAUAAUGUUGUACUUUUCAAUUUAAGUUUGUAUAUUAUUUUAAUUGAAUGUUUUUAGCUAAGUUUUGUUUCUAUAUAGAAAAUAGAGAGGUACUUGAAAAACAUUUAUGGAAUUGUGUUCUUAAUAUUUAAUGUAUAUGUAAUGAUUUUUUUUCUUAAAUAGUAAUUUAUUUAAAUUA
This 4302-nucleotide long non-coding RNA is filed under the name Vitis vinifera (wine grape). RNAcentral describes it as "long non-coding RNA (VVIN_LNC004932)". Lineage: Eukaryota; Viridiplantae; Streptophyta; Magnoliopsida; Vitales; Vitaceae. The record is from RNAcentral.